UGGAUCACCUCCUAACAGGGAGACAAUAACUGAUUGUGAUGUCUGAGUAAUUUAUUCUCAGGCCAUAAUCCUGUCAUCUCUAAGGUCGAUCGGUACCUCAACUUGAGAGUUCAAGAAGAGCUGAGAAAUCAGUUUGGAGAUGAACUACUUAAUUUCAGUUCCUAAACUUUGUCUAGGUCACCCCACAGCGGGUAAAGCCGAGAAUAUUGAUUUAAUAAUCAGUAUUUGAUCUGGCCAGCCGAAAGGCGAGCUAGGUUGCGGCGAGAGCUCCUGGGCCAUUAGCUCAGGUGGUUAGAGCGCACCCCUGAUAAGGGUGAGGUCCCUGGUUCAAGUCCAGGAUGGCCCAUUCGUGUUUGGGGGUUUAGCUCAGUUGGUAGAGCGCCUGCUUUGCAAGCAGGAUGUCAGCGGUUCGAGUCCGCUAACCUCCAUCCAAUGAUGUUGCUCCGCCCUCAACUUGUACUUGCAUAUUGUUGCGGUAAGGAGUUUUGCUGUGAGUGUGAUCUUGACCGUUGUUCGCUGAAGAUUUCAGCUUCUUUUCAUGCUUAAUAAGUUAGCCAAUUAAUUGGUUAAUAUGUUUAGUUGAAAGGACGCUGGAUUCAAUGAAGCCCUGGAGACAGGGCUGUUUGAAUGUCAGCAGAACCUUGACAACUGCAUAGGUAAAGUCUGGAAAUAAAGCAUCUCAUGGAUGCUUGAUUCUAGCUUAGUCAUUAUCCAGAGAUGGUUAAUGUAUUAAAUUAGUAUCAAGAAAAUUCUAUUGAGUUUUUAGAGCCGAGAGCUUCCAGUUUUCUUCUGAGCCCGCCGAGGGUUUGGGAGUUUGAUCCUGGUAUUCAAACCACAGGAUUUAACUGAAGAGAUUCAGGUAAUGAAAGUAGGUGAAUCUAGAGAGAAUAGGCCUCAACAGCCUGAAGGAUUGGAAGUUGAAAUUGGUCAAGCUACAAAGGGCUCACGGUGGAUACCUUGGCACACAGA
This 969-nucleotide transfer RNA is filed under the name uncultured cyanobacterium. RNAcentral describes it as "partial contains 16S ribosomal RNA and 16S-23S ribosomal RNA intergenic spacer". The stretch from base 356 to 428 matches the Rfam family "tRNA". Lineage: Bacteria; Bacillati; Cyanobacteriota. The record is from RNAcentral.